Pistacia vera is the source of this 954-nucleotide long non-coding RNA. RefSeq lists it as uncharacterized. The transcript is spliced from 5 exons. Lineage: Eukaryota; Viridiplantae; Streptophyta; Magnoliopsida; Sapindales; Anacardiaceae. The record is from RefSeq and is a predicted model, not a curated record.
GGAGAACCGUUACGCAGUAGUAGAUGUAUGCUAUCCUCAAUCAUUGGUUCGCCUGAGGGCCCUUUUGCUUAGAUAACUGAUGUUAUGUGUAAUGAACUUUCCAGGGUUUGUAGGCCUUUCUGGUGGAUAACCAGUUCAAUUUAUGCUGAAAUUAACGUAAGGAAAUUGGUGUGGUUCACAGAGGAUGGCAUCUGUGGAGGAGGGUGUAUGAUUUAUACCUCAAGUAUAUUAACAUUUUCAGUCCUUUGUUACCGCCCCAACCAAUGGAAAGUUCAGGCUUUGUCUACGUGACCAAUAAAUGUUCCCAUUUCUGCCCUUUCUUAUUGGGCUUUCAGGCUGAACUAUUUGGCUGUCUUCAUGUGCAAUAUUUCAAUUCAUUUUUUUAGUUUUAUUCUGCAUCAUCUAAAUUGUUAAAGUUUUUUAUCAUGUUAUUUGUAGGAACAAGUAGUUUGCAGUUGUUGAAAAUCCGGGCUUCUAGAAUUGGACAUUUACUUUGAAGGAUAUAAAUGGGGAAGUGCUGGCUGAGAUAGAUCAUGAUUGGAGAGGUUUCGGUUUUGAGAUCUUUACGGAUGCUGGUCAAUAUUUGAUCCGUUUUGGGAAUGCUGAUUCCUGGUCCAAGACUGGCCCUCCUGAGUCUUAAGCACCACGCCAGAAAGUUGAUUCUCCUGUAUUUUAAAUCCAUUAAUACAACAAUUUUGCCCUGGGCAGAUUCAAGAGUUGGAAGUUGUUCGUCCUUUAAACCUGUUCGAGAGAGCUGUAACUUUUGCUUUAGUUAUAUCUCUGGAUAUUAUUAUUUUUCGAGGCAUGGUGGCUGGUAAGCUUUUUGGUUAGAUCUUAUAAUGACUUAGGUAUUGAUAUAACGCAUUCGCUUGACGGCACGAAAAUUAAGCUUAAAGGUUGGAAAUUCUCUGUAUGAGCUUGGCACUUGAGCUAGGUUUCCCAGCCUACUGUUGU